AUGUUGAUAGUAUAUUAAAGUACAGUUGCCUUCCAAGCAGAAAAACCAAAAAUGGUCAACAUA
RNAcentral lists this transfer RNA (63 nucleotides) under Anodonta cygnea. RNAcentral describes it as "tRNA-Gly". Lineage: Eukaryota; Metazoa; Mollusca; Bivalvia; Unionida; Unionidae. The record is from RNAcentral.